Molecule: ribosomal RNA, 399 nt
Filed under: uncultured Nitrosomonadaceae bacterium
Lineage: Bacteria; Pseudomonadati; Pseudomonadota; Betaproteobacteria; Nitrosomonadales; Nitrosomonadaceae
Description: bacterial SSU rRNA
Rfam family: Bacterial small subunit ribosomal RNA
Source: RNAcentral
GACAUGUCCUGAAGCUGGAGAGAUCCGGGUCGUGCCCGAAAGGGAACGGGAACACAGGUGCUGCAUGGCUGUCGUCAGCUCGUGUCGUGAGAUGUUGGGUUAAGUCCCGCAACGAGCGCAACCCUUGUCAUUAGUUGCUACAUUUGGUUGGGCACUCUAAUGAGACUGCCGGUGACAAACCGGAGGAAGGUGGGGAUGACGUCAAGUCCUCAUGGCCCUUAUGGGUAGGGCUUCGCACGUAAUACAAUGGCGCGUACAGAGGGUUGCCAAGCCGCGAGGUGGAGCCAAUCCCAGAAAGCGCGUCGUAGUCCGGAUUGCAGUCUGCAACUCGACUGCAUGAAGUCGGAAUCGCUAGUAAUCGCGGAUCAGCAUGUCGCGGUGAAUACGUUCCCGGGUCUU